RNAcentral lists this ribosomal RNA (434 nucleotides) under uncultured bacterium. Its description in RNAcentral is "partial 16S ribosomal RNA". It matches the Rfam family "Bacterial small subunit ribosomal RNA", at positions 28 to 506 of the family's 1533-position model. The record is from RNAcentral.
GAUGAACGCUGGCGGUAUGCUUAACACAUGCAAGUCGAACGGACUCUUCGGAGUUAGUGGCGGACGGGUGAGUAACGCGUGAGAAUCUGGCUUUGGGUUCGGGACAACCACUGGAAACGGUGGCUAAUACCGGAUGUGCCGAGAGGUAAAAGAGAAAUUGCCUGAAGAUGGGCUCGCGUCUGAUUAGCUAGUUGGUGAGGUAAAGGCUCACCAAGGCAGCGAUCAGUAGCUGGUCUGAGAGGAUGACCAGCCACACUGGGACUGAGACACGGCCCAGACUCCUACGGGAGGCAGCAGUGGGGAAUUUUCCGCAAUGGGCGAAAGCCUGACGGAGCAGUACCGCGUGAGGGAAGAAGGCUCUUGGGUUGUAAACCUCUUUUCUUAGGGAAGAACAAAAUGACGGUACCGAAGGAAUCAGCAUCGGCUAACUCCGU